GAUGAAGAACGCAGCGAAAUGCGAUAAGUAAUGUGAAUUGCAGAAUUCAGUGAAUCAUCGAGUCUUUGAACGCACAUUGCGCCCCCUGGUAUUCCGGGGGGCAUGCCUGUCCGAGCGUCAUUGCUGCCCUCAAGCACGGCUUGUGUGUUGGGCCGUCGUCCCCCUCCUAGGGGACGGGCCCGAAAGGCAGCGGCGGCACCGCGUCCGAUCCUCGAGCGUAUGGGGCUUCGUCACCCGCUCCGUAGGCCCGGCCGGCGCUUGCCGACACAUCAAUCUUUUUUCCAGGUUGACCUCGGAUCAGGUAGGGAUACCCGCUGAACUUAAGCAUAUCAAUAAGCGGAGGA
Molecule: unclassified non-coding RNA, 344 nt
Filed under: soil metagenome
Description: partial contains 5.8S ribosomal RNA, internal transcribed spacer 2, and large subunit ribosomal RNA
Rfam family: 5.8S ribosomal RNA (bases 1-120)
Source: RNAcentral